GGAUGCCCGGCUCUCCUGUGGAGUUUCAGAGGAGCUGCAGCGCCUCCCUGGGAGCAUCUCCGGCUCCAGCCCCUGAUCAGGAUCCACCCUGCGGUUUUCAUCCCCGUUCCUUCCACUGCUCUGAUUUGUCUCUUGGAGUCUUGGUCCUCGGAAAGCUUUUGCCGAUCCCGCGGUGACACCGGCAGAGGCCACCUUUCCUCCCCGUGUCACAUCUGCAGUGACAGCCGGGGAAGCGAUGGGGAGAGGAGGUGAACUCCGCGGAACUGGGGAAAGUGAGGCACGAGUGGGGGCUGUUCCUGUGGCACUUUGGGAGGGAGCUCCGCCGUGUCCUUGGAUCCCAGAGCUCAGGGGAUGCACCUGGAGGGGCCAGGAUCCAGCUCAAAGGUGGGUCUGUGUCAGCAGGAGCUCCCUCCUGCCAGGGGAGAUGUGUGUCAGUGUCCUCACAAAGAAUUCCGUGAGGGACAGGAUGGGGGAAUGACUUUGGGAUGGGGCUGGAUGUCUGUCCCUACUGCAAACAGCGGGUUUGGGGCAGAGCCUGAGACUGCAAAUGGGAAUUCCUGAACUUUGGGGUUAAAUUUAAUCCAGGUUUGGGGCAGAGCCUGAGACUGCAAAUGGGAAUUCCUGAACUUUGGGGUUAAAUUUAAUCCAGGUUUGGGACAGAACCCUGAGACUGCAAAUGGGAAUUCCUGAACUUUGGAGGUAAUUCAAUCCAGGUUUGGGACAGAACCUGGACAGACCCUGAGAUAUGAAAUGGAAAUUCCUGAACUUUGGGGGUAAUUCAAUCCAGGUUUGGGACAGAACCCUGAUACUGCAAAUGGGAAUUCCUGAACUUUGGGUUUAAUUUCAAAUUCUGGAACUUUGGGGUUAAUUUCAAUCCAGGUUUGGGGCAGAACCUGGACAGAUCCUGAGACAUGAAAUGAGAAUUUCUGAACUUUGGGGUUAAUUUCAGUACAGAUUUGGGACAGAAGCUGGACAGACCCUGAGACUGGGAAUUCUGAGACCCCGAGCAAAUGGGAGUUCUGGAACUUUGAGGGUAAUUUCAAUCCAGGUUUGGGACAGAACCUGGACAGAUCCUGAGGCAGCAAAUGGGAAUUCCAGAGCAUUGGGGUUAAUUUCAAAUUCUGGAACUUUGGGGUUAAAUUCAAUCCAGGUUUGGGACAGAACCCAGACAGAUCCUGAGACUGGGAAUUCUGAGACCCCAAGCAAAUGGGAAUUCUGGAACUUUGGGGUUAAUUUAAAAUUCUGGAACUUUGGGGUUAAUUUAAAAUUCUGGAACUUUGGGGUUAAUUUCAAUCCAGGUUUGGCACAGAGACAGACGGGGGUCUGCACAAGCUGGAGUUUCCAAGUUUUGGGGUAAAAUGGCAGGUUUAAGGGGAGCAGGUGCUUCGGGCAGGCUGUGCCUUCCUGGUCCCUCAGUGUUGGGAAGGGAAAAGGACAGAGUUUGGGAAUAAAAGGAAUUUGGGAUUAAUUGGAAUUUGGGAU
This 1482-nucleotide long non-coding RNA is filed under the name Cyanistes caeruleus (blue tit). RNAcentral's name for it is "lncRNA (ENSCCEG00000011836.1)". Lineage: Eukaryota; Metazoa; Chordata; Aves; Passeriformes; Paridae. The record is from RNAcentral.